This 3016-nucleotide long non-coding RNA is filed under the name Homo sapiens (human). Its description in RNAcentral is "SLC12A2 divergent transcript". Lineage: Eukaryota; Metazoa; Chordata; Mammalia; Primates; Hominidae. The record is from RNAcentral.
GUGUUAGCCAGGAUGGUCUCGAUCUCCUGACCUCGUGAUCCGCCCACCUCCGCCUCUCCAAGUGCUGGGAUUACAGGCAUGAGCCACCGCGCCCGGCCCUUGUAUUUUUAAACUUUGACUUUAUGGAGACGAACACCAUCGUUUGCUGAACACUUGAAACAUGAUGAAAGAGCCACAGAGUUGGCAGAACUGUUUGAAAAUGCUGUGCAAGCGGUCUUCUCUGUCUUCUUUAUGGCCAGUAAAAUUCUCCAGAAGAGAUUUAUGGCAGCCUCACUCCCAGUAGUUUCUGCAUUUAGUGAGAUAAGCCACAGCAAUUGUCUGCUAUUUUAAAAGCACUGUGAUGCUUAAAUAUUCCAGCUGCUACAUCGGACAGGUGUCUGAUGAUCCUGAGAACAGUCAUCAAAAAGUAGAACUUGAGCCUGGAAUACAUUCUCUGGCAUAGCCAUAGUCAAUCACCAGUAUAAUUAAUGUAAAUGGACACUGGAUAGCUUUUUUGUGAAUUCUGAUGCAGCACAAAGAGACUUUAAUUGUUUCCAAAAAGAAAAUGUCUGAGAUUAAAAUCUAGAGUUUUAUGACUUAGAGGAAAUUUUAUAGCUUUACUCCAAAAAGGGUAAGGCACAAAAUAUUCUGUGCCAAAGGAUGCAUAUUUGGUAUUUUUCCUAUGAAUCCCUUAGUGUAAGUGGCAUGAUGAAAUUUUCUUGGUUUCAACACAGAUGAUGUGUUGAGGUAGUGUUGAGGCUGAGAGGUGGGUGGGAUGGGUCUUGGAGAAGGAAAAGAUUUGUUUUGCAAGGUUUGUGGAGAGCUGAUGCGGUAGUGAGGCUAAGACGAGGGGUAUUUACUUGCUACUUACAUUGAGUCCACUAACAUCUGCAGCACUUUGCUUGCAUUAUCCACGCAAUUAUCACGGGAAACCUAUAAAAUAAGUAUUCCUCUCCUCAUUUUACAAAUAGGGAAGCAGAUAAGAUUUAGAAAAUUUCCCAAACUCACACAAUUAUUAAAUGACAGAACUAGGACUCAAACCCAGGUUUUAUUAAUUUUAGAGACAUGUUUUUAACCACUUGGACACUGCCAACCAUGGAAUUGUUGGUAUGAAAAAAACGUACUCUUGAGUUAUAUUAUCCAUGGUCUUAAUAUCAGAGAAGUGCAGUUGAGUCGCUAUUAAAGAAUAUGGUAAAAUUAUAAAAUGGAUACUAUACAAAGGUAUAAAAAUAUUAUAAAUACUUAUGUUUGGGGUAAAAGGAUCAAAGUAGCCAUGCUCAGUGGAAGGGUAAGGAACUCUUAGCAGAGAUUGAUUAAUUGGGAGAUAAUUGAUUAAUUGGGAGUUGAUUGAUUAAUUGGGAUUUAUUAAUUUGGGAGUAGGUAGGAAGAUAGGAAGUUGUAUAAAAUAAGGGAGAGAUAACUUAGUACCUGGAAAAAAAGAAAUGGAAAUAGGUAGAAGCUAAGAGUUCAAUUAAAAAAAAGGAAUAAAAGAUAUUGGAAGGGAACGAUGAAUGUAGCAUGGAAGAUCCAAGAUGAUGGGAGUUCAGGGGCUAAUUACAGCUAUGGGGAAAAAGUAAUGUAUAAGCUGGAAGCCAGAGAUAAGAGCCAUGUAAAUGAAGAAGUUGGGCCCCAAUAGGAAAGAAUUAUAAGGACUAGAAGGAGCAGGAGCCAUGUGGAAAAAUAUCAUGUAGUACUUUUAAGCUUGAUCUGUCAUCUGUAGCAAAACCAGCAUGCUUGAGUACUGAAUUGACCUGACUGAACUAUGUUGAAAUGUACUGUGGUUUUAUAUCCAUAUGCACUUGGUCUGUGGAGUUGUGGGAAAAGCAUCAGUGAGUAGGAAGCCCAAGGAUUUGGGUCAAGUAUUAAAUAUGCUAUUUACUGUCUAGCUAUGUGACCUUAUAUAAGUCACUUGUGGUCUCUGAGCCUUCAUGUAUUCAUCCAUAAGAUGAGUUGUUGUUUAUAUUAAAUGGGAUGUGGUAUGUUAAAGAGCUGAAUGCAUAGUGAUACAGAAUUACUUUCUGUAAUACUAUUUUUUAAAUAUUUUAAAUGAAAAAUUAAUGAACUUAUAAAUUAAAAGAUUCAAAAGGGAUAAAAAGGUAUACAAUGAAAAGCAAUUCUCCUUCCCACCAGUAACUCUGUCCUACUCCUUAGGACAUUCACCAUAAACAGAUAUCCUGAAUUCUUCUAGAAAUAUUAUAUAUAAAAUCUUAUAUUUCUUAUGUUUCUUUUUUACUAUUUUAAAGGGGAUAAACUAAACUUUGCUUUUUUUCAUAUAAUAAUAUAUUCUGGAGAUCAUUUUCUAAAAGCACAUGUAAACAUACCUCAUUAUUAUAAAGGUUUGAAAAUAUCAAUUUAUUUGACCUGUCCCCUCUCGAUAGAUAAUUAGAUUGUAUCCAUCCCUUUGGUUAUUACCAACAGACACUAAUCACUUAUCAUGUACAUAUAGCCUGUUUUUUAGCAUUGUUAGACAAAGUAGGCAUAUUCCUUUCCAUCCAAGAACUCAUAACCUAGUAAUUGUAGUUGGCUGAUAGCUCAUUGCCCAUACACAAGGAUCUAACACAACCUCUUGAAUAAACAUCCCCCUUAUUCAGAAAUGCCUUUUCCUAUUUCCAUAUUGCAACUUUGCUUACAAAUUUCCAAUCUGUCUUUCUGUUUACAGAAGAUAUACAAAAUUCCUUUUGUAUGAUCUCUUUAUAUCUCUUGAUUUUCUUUUGUGUUUGCUACCAAAGGGCCUGCACAUAGUGAGAAGAUUGUGCAUGAUCUGUGAGCUCUACCACACCUGGAAUUAGGGAUCACCAAUAUGAGAAAAAAAAUUGGAGGUACAAAUAACAUUAUCAUAUGUAAUUGGCAUAUAAAUUACAGAUGUAUCUAUGACUAAAAACCCUGUGGAUAUAAACCAAAUGCAGAUAAAUAUAAUAAAAUAUAUAAAAAUAUAAUCAAAUAAUGAUAGUGCUAUUCAAAUACUUCAAAUUUGCACAGUGAUUUAUUUCUUAAAAUAUGUUAACACAUGUGAGCCAAUACACUGAGGUCACUGGAU